Molecule: ribosomal RNA, 250 nt
Filed under: uncultured bacterium
Lineage: Bacteria
Description: partial 16S ribosomal RNA
Rfam family: Bacterial small subunit ribosomal RNA
Source: RNAcentral
UACGGGGGGAGCAAGCGUUGUUCGGAAUCACUGGGCGUAAAGGGCGCGUAGGCGGCUUGGUAAGUGGAGUGUGAAAGCCCCCGGCUCAACCGGGGAGGGUCGCUCCAAACUGCCGGGCUUGAGUGCGGGAGAGGAGACUGGAAUUCUCGGUGUAGCGGUGAAAUGCGCAGAUAUCGGGAAGAACACCGGUGGCGAAGGCGAGUCUCUGGCCCGUUACUGACGCUGAGGCGCGAAAGCUGGGGGAGCAAAC